GACGAACGCUGGCGGCGUGCUUAACACAUGCAAGUCGAACGGAAAGGCCCUGCUUUUGUGGGGUGCUCGAGUGGCGAACGGGUGAGUAACACGUGAGUAACCUGUCCUUGACUUUGGGAUAACUUCAGGAAACUGGGGCUAAUACCGGAUAGGAGCUCCUGCUGCAUGGUGGGGGUUGGAAAGUUUCGGCGGUUGGGGAUGGACUCGCGGCUUAUCAGCUUGUUGGUGGGGUAGUGGCUUACCAAGGCUUUGACGGGUAGCCGGCCUGAGAGGGUGACCGGCCACAAUGGGACUGAGAUACGGCCCAGACUCCUACGGGAGGCAGCAGUGGGAGAUAUUGCACAAGGGGCGGAAGCCUGAUGCAGCAACGCCGCGUGCGGGAUGACGGCCUUCGGGUGGUAAACCGCUUUCGCCUGUGACGAAGCGUGAGUGACGGUAAUGGGUAAAGAAGCACCGGCUAACUACGUG
RNAcentral lists this ribosomal RNA (468 nucleotides) under uncultured bacterium. RNAcentral describes it as "partial 16S ribosomal RNA". It matches the Rfam family "Bacterial small subunit ribosomal RNA", at positions 28 to 507 of the family's 1533-position model. The record is from RNAcentral.